GCUAUGUCUGGAACCAUGUUGCCCGGCCAGGGCCUCUGCAACUCCUCUUCAUGCCGCCUCCGAGUCUCCCAUGCUGUCUGAGCAGCCAGUGCCGCCAUUCUUGAGAGGGCCUCAAGUUUCGCCCAGAAGAGCUCGAAGACGGCAUCCCCGGAAUGCCAGAGGUGAGUUGGGUGCAUUGGCCAUCUUGUGUAGCCAGGUCACGGAUCAGGAGCGUUGCUACUCACUCAGGUAUAUCUUUGCAGGAGCUGUGUUUGCAACCCCAGCAGGGAAUGGGAUAACCCCUGCCGGUCCAAAGGGGGAGAAACGUGGCCCAG
Non-coding RNA from Pelobates cultripes (western spadefoot toad), 314 nucleotides. The record is from the annotation of a GenBank genome assembly. Lineage: Eukaryota; Metazoa; Chordata; Amphibia; Anura; Pelobatidae.